UAUAGAUGCAACUAUAAUUUCCCCGUGUCUAAUUUUGAUCGUCCGUUUUAUUUAUUUUUUAUAAUGAGUAUUUUUAUUGUUAUAAGAUGUUAAAACAUGAAUAAUAUUUUAUACGUGACUUAUGUUCUCAUUUUUUUUUCAAAUUUUUUUAAAUAAAACGGACGGUUAAAAUUACGCACGGAAAAUUAUGGCUGCACUUAUA
MicroRNA precursor from Oryza rufipogon (brownbeard rice), 202 nucleotides. It matches the Rfam family "MIR812 microRNA precursor family". The record is from Rfam. NCBI's taxonomy places the organism in Eukaryota, Viridiplantae, Streptophyta, Magnoliopsida, Poales, Poaceae.